CCUUAAGCCAUCACAUAACAUCAUCAAUAAUACCACUCUUAUUUUGCCGCAUGUACAAUAUCAAGAAAUUCCAUCCUUAUUUCAUAACAUGGGCAUGUCACCACCCUUAUUUCACCACAUGGGCAAGCCCGAUAAACACCACCCUUAUUUCGCCCUAUGCGCCCGUCCAGCCAUUUCUGAAAUGGGAACAAGGAAACAUUAUAAUGAAUUUUAUAACUAUUCUAUAUGACAACAUAUGUCAUAAUAACUCAUAGAAGAGAAAUUAAGUUUAAGGGUCAUAUUCUCCUUUAUAAAUUUUCGACCCUUUCAGGACCACUUAAGUAACAGCCACAGGAAUGACUUAAGACUUGGAUUAAGCCCUUCACUUAGGAUCAAUUGCAUUUAUUAUUUAUUAACCUUGUGGAAGACCGACACAUUGCCUAAGUUCUUCAUUCUGCAACAUCAUCUCCUUUUAUAUAGGAAUGAAAUUAAAACGUAACAGUUGGCAAUGUUAACAUCUUAACUAGUGCGUAUUCCUUCUUACGGAAAUUUUUUUACUUUUUGGAAUCAAAUACCAAGAUCAUAACAAUCAAAUCAUCUUUGAUACUUGGGAGGAAACAACUUAUUGUUAAUUUUGUGGUUAAAGUGGAAAGAUUAAAUUGGGUAGGACUAAGGACCUACUACCACUGCUUCCGCUAAAACAGAAAAAACCAAAGACAGUGGUGAAUAUCGCAGGCAAAGCGGCUGACUCCGUCGUAUCUUUAAAAUAACAAAUCACUUCAUUCAACUAUGUAUUUAAACUAGAAUAUAUACACCAUACAUUGCUGUGAUACCAUUGUCAGAUAAAAUGAGGGGCGAGAAUAACGAGUUGUGUACCUUGUUGACGCAGCGAAAACCGUUGAACUCACCACCGUAAGAAUUACCCCAAAUCAACCUUUGAAUCACUAGGAAACAAACUGUAUUCCCACCAACUAAAUAUCUCUUUAUCUAUGUGUGUAUUUUGGAGAAGAAAGAAAUUUAGAAAUUCCUUCAAGAAAGAGAAGAAGUACGUUACUUCUUGGGCAGAUUCAGAGAGUAGUUUUUUUGGAUUUUUUA
Molecule: long non-coding RNA, 1074 nt
Filed under: Nicotiana tabacum (common tobacco)
Lineage: Eukaryota; Viridiplantae; Streptophyta; Magnoliopsida; Solanales; Solanaceae
Description: long non-coding RNA (NTAB_LNC008035)
Source: RNAcentral